This 302-nucleotide ribosomal RNA is filed under the name Charissa intermedia. Its description in RNAcentral is "partial 12S ribosomal RNA". Lineage: Eukaryota; Metazoa; Arthropoda; Insecta; Lepidoptera; Geometridae. The record is from RNAcentral.
UAGUAUAUAAUUAUUUAUUGAAACUUAAAUAUUUUGGCGGUAUUUUAGUUUAUUUAGAGGAAUCUGUUUAUUAAUUGAUAAUCCACGAAUAAAUUUACUUAAUUUAUUAUUUUGUAUACCGUUGUUAUAAAAAUAUUUUUUAAUAAUUAUAAUAUUUUAAAAUUAUGAAAUAAAAUUAGAUCAAAUCAAGAUGUAGAUUAUAAUUAAGAAUAUAAUGGAUUACAAUAAAUUUAUUUAAAUGAAUUUUAAAUUGUAAUAUUUAAAUGAAGGUGGAUUUAAAUGUAAUUUUAUUUAUUUUAUUG